GAUGAACGCUGGCGGCGUGCCUAACACAUGCAAGUCGAGCGGCAGCGCGGUGUGCUUGCACCCUGUCGGCGAGCGGCGAACGGCUGAGUAACGCGUAGGAAUUUGCCUCAAAGUGAGGAAUAACUGACCGAAAGGGUAGCAAAUGCCGCAUGUAGUCUUCGGAUUAAAGGAUUUAUCCGGUUUUGGAGACGGCUGCGUUGGAUUAGGUUGUGGGUAGGGUAAUUGCCUAGCAAGGCGACGACCCAUAGCUGGGCUGAGAGGCUGAUCAGCCAGACUUGAACUGAGACACGGUCCAGACUCUUACGCGAGGGAGGAGUGAGGAAUCCUCCACAAUGGGCGAAGGCAUGAUGGCGCAACGCUGCGUGAAGGAUGAAGGCCGUCGGGUUGUAAACUUCUUUUAUGCGUGGAGAAUAUGACGGUAACUCAUGAAUAAGCACCGGCUAACUACGUG
Molecule: ribosomal RNA, 451 nt
Filed under: uncultured bacterium
Lineage: Bacteria
Description: partial 16S ribosomal RNA
Rfam family: Bacterial small subunit ribosomal RNA
Source: RNAcentral